GGGGAUUUAGCUCAGCAGUAUAAGCACCUGCCUUGCAAGCAGGAGGCCAUGAGUUUGAUCCCCA
This is a transfer RNA of Cavia porcellus (domestic guinea pig), 64 nucleotides long. It matches the Rfam family "tRNA". From Rfam's summary of the family: Transfer RNA (tRNA) molecules are approximately 80 nucleotides in length. Their secondary structure includes four short double-helical elements and three loops (D, anti-codon, and T loops). NCBI's taxonomy places the organism in Eukaryota, Metazoa, Chordata, Mammalia, Rodentia, Caviidae. The record is from Rfam.